AGUGAACGCUGGCGGUAGGCCUAACACAUGCAAGUCGAACGGCAGCACAGUAAGAGCUUGCUCUUACGGGUGGCGAGUGGCGGACGGGUGAGGAAUACAUCGGAAUCUACUUUUUCGUGGGGGAUAACGUAGGGAAACUUACGCUAAUACCGCAUACGACCUACGGGUGAAAGCAGGGGAUCUUCGGACCUUGCGCGAUUGAAUGAGCCGAUGUCGGAUUAGCUAGUUGGCGGGGUAAAGGCCCACCAAGGCGACGAUCCGUAGCUGGUCUGAGAGGAUGAUCAGCCACACUGGAACUGAGACACGGUCCAGACUCCUACGGGAGGCAGCAGUGGGGAAUAUUGGGCAAUGGGCGCAAGCCUGAUCCAGCCAUACCGCGUGGGUGAAGAAGGCCUUCGGGUUGUAAAGCCCUUUUGUUGGGAAAGAAAAGCAGCAGGUUAAUACCCCGCUGUUCUGACGGUACCCAAAGAAUAAGCACCGGCUAACUUCGU
RNAcentral lists this ribosomal RNA (491 nucleotides) under uncultured bacterium. Its description in RNAcentral is "partial 16S ribosomal RNA". It matches the Rfam family "Bacterial small subunit ribosomal RNA", at positions 29 to 506 of the family's 1533-position model. The record is from RNAcentral.